GAUGGGUCUUGGGGGAGACCAAGGGUGCCCUGCUCAAUGUCAGCCCUGACUCUGUGCCACGUGCACUCAGCUCUGCCACGGAGGUGCAUGGCUCUGUAGACGUGGACGGUGAGCUGGGGAGGAAGGUGGUCUUGGAGAGAAAUGCCCCAUGGGGAGCUGAGACCUGUGUGUCAUGGGAUCAUCCUGGAUUUGGCUUAAAAUCCACGUGGCUGUGGAAAUCCCAGGGUGCACCGAGGAUCUGUGGGGGAGCAGGGGUAAGUCCAGGUGAACCUCGAGCUGUUCUCAGCCCUGAGGUUUGGGUCACUCCGAGAGCACUUGGGUCUCUGCCGAACGGCACAGAUCAUUCUCAGGCCCUUACAACCAUCCGGGUCACUCUAGAAUUCCUUUUAGGACUCCUGGGCUGGGCUGUGGCUAUUCAGGACUCUGGGUAAGAGCCCUUGGAGUCACCUGGGAGGUAGAAUCGCCAUUUUCUAGCAGCCAUCUUGAAUGGCAGAUUCCCUGCAGUUCAAGCUGGGGCUGCCCAAGGGGUUCUGGGGGGUCCUGGGUGCCUUCCAGUUGCCCCUCCAGGUGCACCCCCUCCUCCCCCAGGACACUGACCGGCGGGGGCCAUCGUGGGGGACCUUGUGCUCUCUGGCUCUGGCUGGCUCAGCCAGUGGGAGCCUGUGGGGCUGGGAGGGAGGAGGGUGUGAUGAGGCAUCUCCUUCCCGCUGGGCUCCUCCCCACCUCUUUCCUCCUUUUCCAAGUCCCCUGACCAUCCCUCCCCUAUCUCUCCAGGUCUCUUAAAUUACCACGGUGCCAGCUACAUGGCCCGGGUGGGUGGUUCCCCACACUGCCUACCCCUUCAUACCUCGCCCCAUUACACCCUCCUGGAAUCAUUCUCACUGGAGGCUGCACCGUUUCCUGCUGCCCACGAUGAACAAAGCAGGAAACUGUCUUUUCCAGACUUCCCCACGAAGUGAGGUUUUGACGACCUCAUUCUCCAAGAGCAAACCCAGCCCCUGGAGUCCGUUCUUUCCCUGCGCGCGUGGACACCCCUGCAGCAGUGGCUCCUUUUGGUGGCCGCUCUUCAGACACGUGCUAGAGAGCAAUCAUUGAUGACAACGUUUUCUUUCAAAAGGCCCAGAAAACAAAAUUAAAUCUUGGGACUCGAAGCUUCCUGGGCCUGUGCCACGAAGGCCCAUGCUUAGCCGGUCUGGUGCCAGGCUCUGUGACGUGUGGAAACCAGGCCCACCGACCACACAGCAGUGGCUGAGGAUGGCUCCCUCCUCGGCUACUCUCUGAAAUGGUAGAGGCCACUCUCAUGGCUGAGUGGUCUCCGCCGUUCUGCAGAGGUGUGGAUAAGAACAGGAGUUCCUGCUUGUCUCCUAGGGGUCCGUAUUGAACGUUGGCAAUCAGUGGAAAUCCUGUCUCAGGCCCUCUCGGGGCCCCACACUGAUCAUUGUAUUUAAAUCCUCCCAGUGUCCUGCAGACACCUACCUCCCAGACCAAAGAGGGACCUUGCUGGUGGCCAGGAAACAAGCUGAAGCACAGAGAGGAGAGAAAGAGACAGAGUUGGGUCCUCGGGUCACCUUAAAAGGCUGUGAGACUUUUUGCCAGGGCAGGGCCUGGCGGGUGGUGGAGAUGCAGGAUGAAGGACUUAAGGAGGGAUCUUUUACUUUCAGUGUGAAAGUGACCUGUGUUUUUAUGAGGGGGCUAGAGAAAUACUCAGAAUCUGAGAGCAGGCAGUUGGAGUGGGAUCUCAGCAAACUUCCGUGUCUGCAUGGUCCUGCAACCAUCGCCCUGGACAGAGGUCUCAGCUGGGUAGAGAUGGACGGUUGUCAGGGCACAGCCUGUCCUUAGGGGGUGCUAGGAAUGGGGAUUGGGGUGAAGAGGAGUUCAGGAAAGAGGGGUGAGGCAUGGGGAACCUGCUGGCUUAGAGGAUGCAAAGGGGCAGGUUUUAUGGACGCUUUAUGCAGGUCCCUUUCAUAAAGAUACUUGCCCAGCCUGAGCAGAAACCCACACCCUAGAGUUUGUUUCUUCCCUGUGGGCACCCCCCGCCCCCGCAGCAGCGGCUUCUUUCAGUGGCAGAGGCUGACUCUUUUUGCAGCUUCUCCAGCACUUGCAAAUGCAACUUCCUUGCACCCACUUCAGACACUUUACAGCUGGAACCCCUUCCUUCAAGGUUAGGGGCCCAGGCCCACAGCCCCUACCUCCAAGUUUCCACGUUUGAAGAAUCCCAACCUUUUCCCUUUGCCUCCUCAGCCUCAGGGGUGACACCUCAGAGCUCCUGUUUACCUCUUUAGCCACCAGGUUAGUAAUUUUACACCCAUGCAAGUGUGUACAGGAAUCUUCCGGAUCCAAGUGGCUGGUGUGGGCGUUGUCUUCUGUCUGAACCCUGGCCCUUGUCUGUGCAGAUUCCUCCCCUCCUGUCCGGGAGAGAAGAGACAGUUUCGAUGUCAUGUGGAGACAGGAGGCUGUGGUCAACGAGGGGAGGCUGUGGUCAACGAGGGGAGGCUGUGGUGGGGGGUGGCGUUCUGAGUCACUUGGCUGGCUUGGGAAUGUGAGCUGGGCCAGGUGCACCUUAGAGAGCCUGGGUGGUGCUGGGGACCUUCAGGCUCUGGAGUCCUGGGUGACCCUGACAGGUGCAUGUACCCACAUCUCCUUGGCCCCUGUCUCUGUUGCUAAUGUCCCUGCACAGACCCCCCCCAGCCGUCAUUUACAGAUUCCCAGCAGUGAAGCACACGGGCUUAGGUUAAAAUCACUGAGCCCCUUGCACAGCGGCCUUCUGGUCCCCUCUGCUGUAAGGCAGGACCACCUGUCAGCCCCUGUCUUCUGGGGACCCCACUAGGCCUAAGAGAUGAGGCUGUGGGGUUCUGUCUUCUGGAGGCCCCACUAGGCCUAAGAGAUGAGGCCGGCGGCGGAGGUCUGGCCUGGAAGAGAAAUGUGGUGAGUCACCCCAGGCCUGACAGAUUCACUCAGACCUGGUCCUUCUGCUCCUAGGCUGAGCCAUCUCUCAGGGACCCUCCUGCCCUCCUUCACCUCUCACCUGGCCUGCCCCAACCAGUUCUCCAGGCAAGCCCAAACCAGUUCCACCUGGUUUGUGACUGUGUUUGGAAAGAGGGUCUUUGCCGAGGUAAUUAAGUUAAAAUGAGGUCAUGUGAGUGGGCCCUGAGCCAGUCUGAUGGGUGUCCUUACAGGAAGACAUUAGGACUCCCAGAGGGUGACUCCAGGGGCAGGUGGCUUGGAGGACUGGCCGUGCAAGGAGGCAGCAAAGGGGCGGCCAUCUGCAAGCUGAGGGCAGAGGCCUUGGAGGAAGCAGCCCUGCCAGUGCUGGUAACUCCUGCAGGUCGGAAGUCCAAACCAAGGUGCUGGAAGGGCUGGUUCCUUCCGGACCCUUCAGGGGAGAAUCUUUCUGCCUCUUUGGCUUCUUGAGGCCCCUUCCUGGCAUUGCUUCUUUCUCCACUGACUCCUACCAUCAGCGCUGAGUCCUGCCUGCCUCUUAUAAGGUACUUCUUUCUCCACUGACUCUUACCAUCAGCGCUGAGUCCUGCCUGCCUCUUAUAAGGCGCUUCUGGGAUGACUCCUGGUGCACCCAAUAAUCCAGGGUCAUCUCUCCAGAUCCAGGUUCAUAACCCAAUCACCCCCACAAAGGGAGGUCACGUGUUCCCAAGCUCCAGGGAUCAGGAGGAGGGCAUCUUUGGGGGUGAUACUAUGCAGCUGACCACAGCCUCUCUCCACCUGGGCUCCCACACCCACCCUAUUCUGCAGAUCUUCAGAGGCCACCUGGGAUGUCAGAAGCUUCCAGGAACCAGGAGGAGAUGGAAUGGGAUGGGCUCUGGGCCCGGCCAAGCAGAGCAGGAUAGGGCUGAGAGUCAUCUGAGCACAGGUGGUUCAAAUGGCAGAGAAGCUCCACGCUGGAGCGGGGAAGAGCUUGGGCUUUCCGGCCAGAAAGCGCAGGUUUUGGCCACGGCUCUUCUGCCACUCACUAGAUGUGGGAGUUUGGAGGCGUUACCCGAGCUCUGAGCCUUACUUUCCUCAUCUGAAAAAUGGGAAUAAUGGUAGGGUUAAAUUAAACCAAAUUUGGUCUGAGGAUGCCUCUGCACUUUGAGUCCAACUGCGACCUUAGCAGCAAAUGAACUGCAGGCCUAGCUUAGGAGUGUACUUUUGUAAGAAAUAGCCGAGUCUUAGCCAAUCACAGCAGCUGAGCUUCUAUAAAUCGCAGGUGGCUGCUGAGUAGUCCAUGUUCAAACACGGCAAACCAAGCUGUGACCAAUGAGCUGUCUCUGCAGCUCACUUCCAUUUUCUGUCUAUAAACACUCCCUGCCCACACUGUGGAGUGGAGCUCAGCCCUUGGAACCUCUUCUGGUCUGAGGGCUGCCCACUUCAUGAAUCCUUUGCUUAAUUAAACUCAAUUCAUUUCAAAUGAAACUCAAUUGAUUGCUAGAUUAAUUUAAAUUUAAUUCGUCUAAAGUUUUCUUUUAACAGUUCCUACCUUGUUGAGUUGUCGUGGGAAUCAAGUGGAAAUUUCUUUUUCACAUGGAAAGGGCUUAGCAUAGCCUGGCACGUGCUGAGUGUUCAGUGCACACUGGUUAUGAUGAUCACAGUUAGUGUCUCCAUCUUUGGUCUGUUCAGCGCUACAGUGUUUGGGGGCCAGCUAGGCAGUGCUGCAGCUGCAGCUCUGUGUGUGUGUGUGUGUGUGUGUGUGUGUGUGUGUGUGUGUGUGUGGAGGGGGCUGUGAGAUUGGCGGGCUCAGGAGAAGAUGACUACUAGCUGUUGCCAAAGUUUCUUUUCUGCAAGGGAAAGCCACAAGUCACUGGCUCCAAUGUGGACUUUUAAAAGGCCUUCCUUCCUUUCUCUCUUACUUCUGGGGAGCCCAUGGAUAGGAAAUGGCACUAAACUGACUUCAUCUCUGUACCCUGAUGCCUCCAUCGCCCUCAGAGUUUACGCCCUCGAUGAAUCACUUAGAGUGAACUGGGAGCUGUGUAUGAGGUGACGUCACCCUGAGAUAGAGCUCUGUGGUCACUGGGAGGUGGCUGUGUGCGUUAUCUCCCUGUGGCAUGCCAGGAGGCGUGUGUGUGUGCACGAGUGUGUGUGUGCAUGCAUGUGCAUGUGUGUCUUUGUGUGUGUGCAAGUGUGUGUAUGUGUGUGGAUAAGGGAGAGGGAGGGAGGGAGCUGGGCUGUCUCCCCUUCCCCACAAGUGGACCCUGCAGCUCAGAGCCGGAGGUGUGAGCUGAGUUUGGCGUUUGUAUGUUGCUUGAGUUGGAAUUUGAACUCACAGGGGACAGGAAAGGAUGCCUGUCCCCAGGACUGACUAACGACAUCAGGCCUGGCUAUUGAACUUCCUGCUCUGCAGAUCCUGGGUUCUGGGAGGAUGAGGAAAGGAUGAGCGAAGGCUGGGGGAUCUCUGGGGUGGGGGUGGACUCAGUGAGUGGAAAGAGUAAAGGUGUUGGGGGUGGACUCCCUGUCUGUGUGACCGCUGGCAAAGUCCUUGACCUCGGCCAGUCUGCGUUUCCUGAUCCAGGCAGUGGGGACAUGGUCCUUUCCCUCAGAGGGGUGGUGAGGAUUCAAUGAACUCCUUUAGGUAGAGCUUGCUCAGGAGCAUCAGCUGUAACACCUGUCCUGGAAGGUUGCUAGGUGCCCUCACCCUUUGUUCUGUGCCCACCUCUCUCCACCCCCUCUUCAGCCCGGAUCCAGACGAGGCCUGGGGAAAGUCUCCCAGAAAGCGCCCUGACCAGGGCGGUGCCAGCUGGGUUCCUGUUUGCCUAAACCCAAGCAGCAAGCUCUUCAAAGGAACCUAACAAACCGGACAGAGAGCUUUGUUUUUUUCCUCACAGCAAAGGAGACAGAAAAGUUUGCUGAGUAAGUCAGACACCAUUAAACUCACAAAAAGGCUCUUUGUUCCGGCCUGAGAGGGGGUGAAAAAAAUAAGCGAAGUGGUCGAAGGGCGUGUGUUUGCUUCCGUGUUCUUGGAGUGUUUGGGCAGGGCUCACCCAGCUCACUCUUCCUGCUCUCCCCCAUCUCUGAGUCCUCUGCCCCUGGUGAUCCCACCUGUUAUAUCAAAAAAUUGCACCACGGCCCAGCCAGAAGGAACGGCUAAGGGCUGUUAGUCCAGCCAGAGUUUCACUUUUAAAAUGAUGCUACCUAGUACUUAAGUUAGACGCUCCCGCAGGGCUUUCCUGUGCUUUUUCUUGUUGGAAGUGAUGUGACCGAGGCUCUUGCCAAAGGUCAGUUAGUUGCUGUCUGAGCUGGGCUUGGGACCAAGCCCCUCGUACCCAGCCUGUUGUCAUUUACUGUCAUCCCUAGUGCUAGCUGUGGAAAAGUCUGCUUGAUUCUAACCCUUUUGUCUCUAGUACAGUGAGAUCUAUGCUAAGAUUUGUUUGUCCUCAUUAAAUUAUAAAUUCUUCCAGGCAGGUCACUAUGUGGCUGGUGCCCCCCUGCAGUUGUGCAGUGUGCAACCUGUCAGACUGAACAUGGCAGCCCUGCUUCUGGGGUUAAUACAAUAUUAUUGAUUCAUUCUUCCAGCAGAUGGAACAAUGCCUGUGGGGGGCAAUUAUGCCUUUGCUUCUAAGACUCGUGCUUGUAAUGCCCAAAAUCCAGUGUCACUGAGCCCAGCUGUGCUGAGAGAAACCAGCAAGUGGGCCAAAAAGAAAAGGUCUCCUCCUCCCAGACACACUGGCUGCUGGAGAAAGCCUGUGUGUUCUUAGGUGGCUGGGCUAGGUGGGGGCAGGCUCAUGGGCAGGGGAACCAGUCUCUUAGGUGGGCAUUUCUGGGGGGCUCUCAUGGGGUGGAACUAACCAGCCAGGCCCAGUUCUCUCCUUUGGCAGCCAGAGAGGGGAGAAUGUCAGAUGUUUGUGCCUUGACUCAGCAGGUGACGUUGUGAACAUUUAUGAGCUUUUCUUCCUUUGGGCUCAUUUCUUUAUCUGUUAAAAGCAGGCAGGGCAGUGCCCAGCCCGCACCUGCCCAGAAGGACAGACAAAACAUAAAAGGGCGGGGUGAUUGUGAAAUAUCACUGGGCAUUGUUCAUGUCAGAGCUCCUGGUGCAGUGCGAUGCCCAGGACUUUGUGUGGGCAGGGCUGGUGCUGAAGUGCAGGAGAAGACUCAGCUCUGGCUGAGCAGGCGCUGACCCACACUGCUGCUCUGUAACUCACACCGUUAACAAUGGAAAGCGUUGCCUUGUUGUCUGUUUUGUGCAUCCAUGUUUUCAUUCCGAUUUUUAGUCCACAUCUCUGGAGGGCAGAAAAUCUGUCUUAUGCUUCUUUUUCCUUCAACUGCAUCCUUGGGAGGGUGGUAGAUAGAAGACAGACAUUCUUUACACAGGUGAGGCCCGCAGGAAGAACCAGGGCCAGUCCUCAUGGUCAUCACACACCUGGAGAGGGAGGCUUCUGUGACUUUGUGUGUGGUGACAACGCUGUGCUGCUUGGUCUUCCGAAUGGUUGGACAGCCUUUGGCAUGUGCUCUAGGACGCCCAGAGCUGCAGGUUGGCCUUGACUCCUCUAGCCUUGCCAAGUCCCUCAGGUAGAUCAGCCCACUGGUACCUUCAGCCGGCCGGCACCCUCCUGCCCAGGUGGGGCCAUGCCUCUGUUGGCUGCACUGUCUUUCAGGAGGGUGUCCUUGGCUCUGGCAUUCUGGGCUCCUAGAACAGAACUGCAAUGGUUUUCCUCAGCCUGCGUUCCUGACUUCUGUCCAGCUUGUGGUCUGCCUUGUGGCUCCCUUCCCUGGGGACCGUCCCCUCUGUCCCCCACCAGGAGGGUCAUGCCUGCCACACACUGCUCCUAACAACCCGCCCUGUGAUGGCUCUGGCUGGUGACCCGCAGCUGCUGGCCAGGCUGGGCUGAACCCGGAUGGCUGCGGAUCAGCAGAGCACGCGCCCCACCGCGUUGGGCCUGCUCUCGGAUAUGCUGCUGGUGGACUGACUCAUAACUAGCGCUUCCUCUCAACAAAAACAAACACCCAGGGAGAGACUCAAGGGCCCUCCUUGGCUAAACAAUUCUUGAGAUUGAGUUGGAAGGGAAAACCCAUUACACAAAGGGCUUUGCAGGGGAAGAGGGGAGAAGGCGAGAAGCCAGAACAAACACAAGAAGGCCCAAGCCACCCAGGGACUGGGAGAGGGACUCCGGCUCAGGUGGGCGCGGCCAUAUCCACCUUUUUGGGACUGAGACACUGAGCACAUUUGCUCACUGCUUUCCCUCCGACAGCUGUUAAAGCUGGUGCUUUGAACCCAGCCCUGGGCAGGGUCCUUGCUGGCUCCGGGAACCUCCAUUCUUGCUGGGCUGACCCUUUGCACAGCGGGCUAGGGCAGCCCUGGGUGUGGGGCUCCAGCUCACAGACAGUGUGAUCAUGAAAUGAGGAAAGUGUGGGCUUUGGAGUCUGUGAGACCUGGCUGCAAAGGCUGCUCUGCUGGCCCUAGCUUUAUGGGCUCAGGCAAGUGACUUAACCUCGCAGAGUCUCAGUUUCUUUAUCUGAGAAAUGGGUGGUGAUGCCUACUUGGGAGAUUGCUGUGAGGAUUAAAGAUGACCUAUGUACAGUGCUGGAACAUAGGAGGCAGUUACUACCUAGCAGCUAAUCUUACUUAAUUAAAUAUCUUCCCCUCUCAAAUAAACCUUCUGGGUCUAGCAAAGAAAGUUGAGUAAGAUACAGGCCUUCUCCACUGGACACACACAGCUCCUUGGGGACCAUCUGGUGGGAUCUCAUUCCCAGGCCCCAGGCCAGAUGCUCAUCAGCACCCAGUGAGGCCACAGCCAGCCCUGAUUCCAGGUCACUGGCCCACCUCUGGUCAUAGUGGCCUCUUCUGUCUUCUCAUCAUCCCACAGUUAGGCAGGACCUCCCAUGAACCAAUGGAAAAAUGCCCAGUAGUACAGAUGCCAGCAUGCUGACCAGGGAACAGGCACAGGUCACCUUGGGCUCGGUGUGGAGCCAUCAGCUGGCCAGGGGGACCUCACUGUCCUCCUGGUUGCAGAGGAAGGCACUGGGCUUGUGGGAAGAGUCUUAGAGAAAAACUUUGCAAUGGGGCAUGGCCACAGGACUGAGGGCCAAGCAAAGACUACUGAUGAGAAUUUCUGUGGGGGGAGAGUUUCAUUUCAAUGGAAGGAAGAACUUUUAUCAGUAAGAACAAAAACUUCACUGUUGAAGAAUAGAUUCAAGGGCACCUUCACCUUCUUUGUCCCUCCUUGACUUGGCCACUGGUGGUAGUGUGUGUGCACAUGUACGUGGGUGUGUGUGUGUUGUUCAGCUUAAUAAAUAACACAUCAAAAUCAUGCAGUGCAGUCAAAUUCAUAUGAGAAAAAAAUUUGUUUGUUCUCAAGUUCUGUGAAAGUAGAUAUACCUGAACCAGCCAACCACUGACCUCCAACUACCAAGUUCUGCCAAAAGUUGUGACACUCAGAGGACAAACCAGUUAAGCAGUGUUUGUCAAAAAAUAUUCCCUGGACAAGACUUAUUCCUGUCUGGGUGUGUCCACGUUACAAAAGCAUGUCUACACCACAUUGCUACAUCGAUCUUCAGAACGUCUGAGUGAAGUAGGCAGGAGGGUAUUGUCUUCCUUUUGCAGAGGAGGAAAUAACUUGCUCAAGGUUACAUGGCCAGCAAGUAGCAGGCUUGGGAGAACCAGGUCUUCUGGCUGCUUCACAAAGCCUGAUCUAGAAAAGGAGGGGGCUGCCUCGUGAGUCCCGUGGACCCAAACUGAGAUCAGAUGACAGAGGAUCAGAUCAUGGAGACCUUCUGGAGUUCAUAAUUGUACCAUGAAAGCAUUGUCCUGCACGACAGUGAGAGCAGAAGUUGGCACAAUUUUUAGAUGUGUAAUUUGGCAAUAUGAAUCAGAAACCAUAAAGGUGACUAUGGGCUUUGACCAAUUAUUUUCAUUUCUAGGACAGUGUCUUCAAGAAAUAAUCAGAAAUGGGCACCAGGUUAAAAAGUUACACAUAGGGUUACCGUAUGACCCAGCAAUUCCACUCUUGGUGUAAGCCCAAGAAAAUGAAAACAUGUGUCCACACAGAAAAAUUGUAUGUGUUUAUAGCAGUACUAUUUAUACUAACUGAAAAGUGAAAAGACCCCAAUAUUCACCACUAUUGAAAAAAUAAAAUAUGAUCUAUCCAUAUAGUAGAAUAUUAUUCUGCUGUAAAAAGGUAUGAAGUAGUGAUAUUUGCUGCAACAUGGAUGACCCUUGAAAACACUGCGCUAAGUGAAAGAAGCCAGGCACAAAAGACCACAUCCUAUGACUUUGUUUAUAUAAAUCCAGAAUAGGCAAAUUUGUAAAGCUAAAAGUAGAGUAGGGUUGCUUAAGUUUGGAGUAGGAAAGUUGGGAAGAUGCAGAUUCAUUGCUAAUGGGUAUGAUGUUUAUUUUAGCAGAACAAAAAUAUUCUAAAAUUAGAUUGUGGUGAGGGUUGUACAACACUGAAUUAUUUUUAAAAUGUUAAACUGUACACUUUAAAUGAGUGAAUUACAUGGUAUGUGACUUAUAUCUCAACAAUUUUUUUUCUAAAAAAAAAGGGCACCAGGAAGUUCUUCUCAUCAGUUUUCAUAAUAAUAAAAAAAUUUGAAACAAUCCAAGCUCAUAAGGAAAAGAAAUAAUCAAAUAAUUAUAGUACACCCAUAGUUGAUGUAUAAAGAAAUCAAAAAAUAUAAUACAUAAAAAUAUUUUAGACAAUGAGAAAAUGCUCAUGAAAUAUUAAAAAUUAUAAAAUACAAAUGUAUGUUUAGUGUGAUUUCCAUUUUAUUUUAAUUUUUAAAAAUUAAAUGUUUUAUCUUUUAAGAAAGAAUUUUAAGAAAGAAUGCAGAGAUCCUGUGUAUCUUUCACCAAUUUCCCCAGAUGGGAGCAGUUUGCAAAACUGUAGUACAAGACAGCAACCAGGACAUUGACCUUAAUAUGGUCAAGCAACAAAACAUUUUCACCACUGCAAGGAUCACUUGUGUUGCCCUUUUAUAGCCAUGCCCCCUUUCUUCCUGUGCCAUUCUCACCUUAAUCCCAGGAAACAGCUAACCUAUUCUUCAUCUCUAUGAUUUUGUUAUUUCAAGAUUGUUAUAAAUGGAAUCAUAUAGUGUGAAACCUUUUGGGACUGGCUUUUUUCACUCUACAUAAUUCACUAAGACCCAUCUAGGUUGUUGCACUUAUCCUUAGUUCGUAUUUGUUUAAAAACCUGUACACAGCGUGUGUAGUAGUUUUAUUUGUAAUAGCCCAAACCUGGAAGCAAUCCAGAAUUCUCCAGGGAAACCAUCUGGGCCUGGAGAUUUCCUUUUUUAGGAGGUUAAAAAUUACCAAUUAAAUUUCUUUAAUAGUUACAGGGCUAUUCAAAUCAUCUACUUUAUAUUUGAUGAGUUGUUAUAGUUUACAUUUUUCAAGGAAUUGGUCUAUUUCAUCUAAGUUGUCAAAAUUUACGUGGAUAAAGUUUUUGUGGCAUUCCAUGAGUAUCCUUUUGAUAUCUGUAGGGUCUAUGGUAAUAUCCUUGUUUUAUUUCUGAUAUUUGUAAUUUAUGUCUUUCCUCUUUUUUCCUUUGUCAGUCUUACUAGAAGUUUACCAAUUUUAUUGAUCUUAUAAAAAAACUAGUUCUUGAUUGAUUUUCUCUAUUUUUUUCUGUUUUCAAUUUCAUGGAGUUUGGUUUUUAUUUCUUUAUUUCUGCUUUCUUUGGAUUUACUUUUUUUUUAGGUUCUUGAGGUGGAAGCUUAGAUUAUUUAUUUGAAUUUUUCCUUUUUCUAAUAUAUUCAUUUAGUGCUAUGAAUUUUCCCCUCAGCACUGCUUUAGCUGAGUGCCACAAAUUUUGAUAUGUUGAAUUUUCAUUUUCAUUCAGUUCAAUGUAUUAAAAAAUUAUCUGGAGACUUCCUCUUUGACCUCUGGGUUAUUUAGAAGUGUGCUAUUUAGUUUUCAAGUGUUAUGAGAUUUUCCUAUCAUUUCUCUGUUAUUGAUUUCUAGUUUGAUUCCAUGUGAUUGGAGAACACACGCUAUAAGAUGUGAAUUCUUUUGAAUAUGUUGAGGUUUGUUUUGUGGCCCUGAAUAUAGUCUAUCUUAGUGUAUAUAUUUUGAAGUAUGGGAAAAUGUUCAUGAUAUAUUAUAUAAAAAUAUAAAUUAUAAAAUGUGUGUAUAGUGUGAUUCCAAUUUUAUGUUAACUGCCCUUUAUUUUCCUCCUUAUCCUCUUCUGAAUUAUCUAAAGUUAAGAAUUCUACCUUUUAUGAUCAGAAAGUUUUUUUUUUUAAAUGGAAAGAGCAGUGGGUAGUGUGUCAUAAGAUACAAGUUUAAAAACUGGGCUCUCAUUUUCUAGCAAUGUGACCCAGGCACUGCAUCUCAUUUUAUCUAAUUGAGCCUCAUUUCUAAAAUCUAUAAAAUGGAAAUAAUAAAAUGCCCACUUUAUAGAGUUAUUGUAUUAAACAAUCCAAAGCCAGCAUUUAUUAAAUGCCCAAGCAGUGUGCACACGGUAUGGUGGUGUUUCUAUUACAGUGAGGAAGCUGGACUCUUUUAUCUCUUGGGUCCCUUGCGACUAUUUGCUUUUAAGCCUCUGUGAUUCUUUCACUGAGGAGCAGACAGAAGUCUGAAACAUAUUGUGUCUGUGGACAGAACUCUCCAUAAAUUGCUGUUCUCCAGAUAUUUCUGGAAGCCUGGGAGUAUAAUUGGGAUGUAACAAAUUUGGACUUUUUAGCAAUGUUCCAAUUUCAAAUGUUCUGUCCUCUUGCUCCCCUAGUAUAACAGUAAUGUUUUCACCAUGCAAUUUCAUUUCUGGUUAGAAAAAUGUGGAUAUUAGGUUAAAAGAUUCACCUGAAAGGAGAAGAAAAAUUCUUGGUUGUCUGCCAUACCCUUUACUAGAAACCUUUCCCCUCUUCUUAGGCCUGUGAUUGUUCUCCAAAGCAGGUGAUUGUAAUCAAGCUCCCAAGAACCAGGUUAUCAGUCAGUUUUACAGCCCUAAUUUCUCAAUGGCAGGAAAGGAGUGGGGCCUGUAAGAUGAGUCAAGGAGGGACAGGGUUUCCUUGGUAUUACUUAAUUUUAAAGUCCUUUUCCCUGCCCAUGCAUGACUCCCAAUCCACCGCUGGGCUGGCCUCUAGAAGAACCGCUGUAGGAGCUCUCACCCUGCCAGGGCCACCUCCGGUCUUCUCUCUGUGUCUUCCACCCUUCCUUGGCCAGCAGACAGUCUUCUGGUUUUAGAAGUGUCUUUUCUUCCUACUUGUGUGGUAUUCCCUUCCAAAUCCACCCUAUCCAUGUGGAUGGAGUCUUCUUGACCAAGAGAGCCAGGGUCCAAGCUUUUCUAAGGAUAUUCCAGAGGAUACUAGGGUCUAUUCAGCCAAUGAACCCUUAGCCCUGCUUCCAGACUCGGUGUACUACCAUCCCUCUCAAAGCUCCCUGUUCAUCCAAUGUGUAGUAUCUACUGAUAAUUCAGCAUCCCGUGCCAACCAGUCAUGCCCCACUCUGUGAUCUUAGGGUGGCGGAUGCCUAUUUAUACAUUGCCCUUAUUUUAUUUUACACCCUUUAUCACCUGGGUCUGUGAGUUUCUUGGGUUCAAGGACUUUUCUCAUUUGUUUUUGUUUAUUUUGAUCAAGGUAAAUAUAUAGCAUAAAAUUUACCAUUUUAGGUACACAAUUUGGUGGCAUUAAGUGUACCAUAGUCUCAAUGCCUUAGUCUCAACACUAAGUCACAUGAAAUCAAACUAGAACUGUCACCACCAUCCAUUUCCAGAAUUUCAUCAUCCCAAACGGUAACUGUCUACCCGUCAAACAACAACCCCAGCUGGGCGCAGUGGCUCAUGCCUGAGGUCCUAGCAUUUUAGGAGGCCGAGGUGGGCAGAUCACUUGAGUCCAGGAGUUCCAGACCCGCCUGAGCAACAUGGUGAAACCCUGGCUCUACAAAAAAUACAAAAAUUAGCCAGGAGUGGUGGUAUACGCCUGUAGUCCCAGCUACUGGUGACGGGGGAGGCCUGGGAGCUGAGGUGGGAGGAUGGCUUGAGCCUGGGGAGGCGGAAUCUGCAGUGAGCCGAGAUUGCACCAUUGCACUCCAGCCUGGGUGACAGAGUGAGAUACUUUCUGAAAAACAAAAAAACAAACCAAAACAAAACAAAACACCCCAACAAACCCAUUUAUUUUUGCAUCUUCUGUCUUCUAUGUGAGGACCUUUGCCUAGCACACAUCCAGGCAGACAUAUUGUGACAUUGUCCACAGACAUGAGACAUACUGUGAAGGUGCCCUUGAGUUGUGCAAGACAGUGGUCAAGCUCCCAUCCCACUUCUUAACACAUGGCGGGACCUUAAAUGUUCUUAAAAUUGAACCAACCGGAAAGCAGGAUAUUAUGGGCACACUUUUAAUCCUUGGCUCUUGGGGUAAACUGCCCUCAAGAAAGACCUUGACUUUCACCCUGGGGAGAAGAUCUCUCUUUCAUGGCCUUCCAAAUUCUGCGAUCUGUGGCAUUAAUUCUGCUCAAAUUGAUUUCAUUUGUCUAAUAUUUUCAGCCUAAUGAGACAGUGGGCUGUGCUACGUGACCGAACCAGCAACUAAAGCAACAGGGCCUUCCCCUUGGGGUGUCCAUUCCCCAGGGUCGGGCGAUAGGAACUUCCUUCCAAGCGACUGAACCAGCAGCUACAGCAACAGGGCCUUCCCCUCGGGGUGUCUGUACCCUACGGUCAGGUGAUAAGAACUUCCUUCCAUGCGGCUCUCGUCUUUGAAAUCAUGACUUUAAUGGUGGUGAUAAGACCACAGAAACUUUUGCUACUUGAAUCCUCUCAAGGGCAGCUUAGAAAAAGUCAAUUUUGCUAGAGACAUGGGGAGACACAGAACUCCUCCAUAUGAAAUACAUCAUCCCUGUUUUAGGACAAAAGAGCGGGUCUGUGGGUAUGAAGUGGACGGCACCCUCCUCCCUUCAAGCGCAGCCCAGCCCUCCUCUCCCCUCCUCUCCUGCAAGGUGUCGGUGAUUCCUCCGGCUUGCCCUGGGCUCUCCCUUCUCAGACCAGGCGCCUCUGUGGUCAGCAUUGUGCGUCUGGUUGCUUACAUGCCCCUGCUUGUUUACGGUGAUUGUUUUGUGUCCACAGAUCCUGGAGAAUGAGCUAUUUGAGGAACAAGACUUAACUUUGCUAUGCAUAGCUCAUCGAGGACGUUCCAGCAGAACUUAUUCCCUGAGUGAUAAAGCAUACAGGGUGUAGGUUUCUGUAGAAAGUCAGACAGAAACAGAUGGAACUAAAGAAAACACAGUUAGAGGGGUCCCCAAAUAACUGACUUGUGCUUGUCUCUUUGGCUUUUGCAUUAUCUCUGAGACGCAGAAUGUACCUGGAACAUUCCCCUGGAGGGCAGGACCUGUGAAAACAGGAGCAGGAGGAGCUGGCAUCAGCUGUGCUUGCUCCCAGUUCUGCAGCCUGAAGGGAAAAGGCUCCUGAAGCUUUCUUACCACAGGAAGGAAAAACAACUUGCAUUAAGGCUGUGUCCCAAGAUCAAAGACAUUCUUAAACAAUGAAUGAGUACCAGGGAAAAAUAUGUUAGGCCAGAGUGGAAGUUGGGUUGUAUUUGGAAAGAAGUGGCGGUACCGAGCAAAGAUGGGGAGAGAGGGUCAGGAGUAGAAGAAACAGGCCGGGCACGGUGGCUCACGCGUGUAAUCUCAGCACUUUGG
This 15544-nucleotide long non-coding RNA is filed under the name Homo sapiens (human). RNAcentral describes it as "non-protein coding CALML3-AS1:11". The record is from RNAcentral. Lineage: Eukaryota; Metazoa; Chordata; Mammalia; Primates; Hominidae.